CAGUACCACGGUAAUACGUAGGUCCCGAGCGUUGUCCGGAUUUAUUGGGCGUAAAGCGAGCGCAGGCGGUUAGAUAAGUCUGAAGUUAAAGGCUGUGGCUUAACCAUAGUACGCUUUGGAAACUGUUUAACUUGAGUGCAGAAGGGGAGAGUGGAAUUCCAUGUGUAGCGGUGAAAUGCGUAGAUAUAUGGAGGAACACCGGUGGCGAAAGCGGCUCUCUGGUCUGUAACUGACGCUGAGGCUCGAAAGCGUGGGGAGCGAACAGGAUUAGAUACCCCUGUAGUCCCUGUCUCUUAUACAC
RNAcentral lists this ribosomal RNA (301 nucleotides) under uncultured bacterium. RNAcentral describes it as "partial 16S ribosomal RNA". It matches the Rfam family "Bacterial small subunit ribosomal RNA", at positions 509 to 809 of the family's 1533-position model. The record is from RNAcentral.